RNAcentral lists this ribosomal RNA (421 nucleotides) under uncultured bacterium. Its description in RNAcentral is "bacterial SSU rRNA". It matches the Rfam family "Bacterial small subunit ribosomal RNA", at positions 11 to 481 of the family's 1533-position model. The record is from RNAcentral.
GUUGAUCCUGGCUCAGANCGAACGCUGGCGGCAGGCUUAACACAUGCAAGUCGAACGCCCCGCAAGGGGAGUGGCAGACGGGUGAGUAACGCGUGGGAACAUACCCUUUCCUGCGGAAUAGCUCCGGGAAACUGGAAUUAAUACCGCAUACGCCCUACGGGGGAAAGAUUUAUCGGGGAAGGAUUGGCCCGCGUUGGAUUAGCUAGUUGGUGGGGUAAAGGCCUACCAAGGCGACGAUCCAUAGCUGGUCUGAGAGGAUGAUCAGCCACAUUGGGACCGAGACACGGCCCAAACUCCUACGGGAGGCAGCAGUGGGGAAUAUUGGACAAUGGGCGCAAGCCUGAUCCAGCCAUGCCGCGUGAGUGAUGAAGGCCUUAGGGUUGUAAAGCUCUUUCACCGAUGAAGAUAAUGACGGUAGUCG